Sarcophilus harrisii (Tasmanian devil) is the source of this 102-nucleotide small nuclear RNA. The record is from Ensembl. Lineage: Eukaryota; Metazoa; Chordata; Mammalia; Dasyuromorphia; Dasyuridae.
AUGGGCAUCCACUCAAUUUCCAGUUUCUAGCCACUACAAAGAGGGCUAGCAUGGCCCCUGCUUAAGGAUGACAUGCAAAUCUGUGAAGUAUUCCCUAUUAAA